This 492-nucleotide ribosomal RNA is filed under the name uncultured bacterium. RNAcentral's name for it is "partial 16S ribosomal RNA". It matches the Rfam family "Bacterial small subunit ribosomal RNA", at positions 29 to 507 of the family's 1533-position model. The record is from RNAcentral.
AGUGAACGCUGGCGGUAGGCCUAACACAUGCAAGUCGAACGGCAGCACAGUAAGAGCUUGCUCUUACGGGUGGCGAGUGGCGGACGGGUGAGGAAUACAUCGGAAUCUACUUUUUCGUGGGGGAUAAGGUAGGGAAACUUACGCUAAUACCGCAUACGCCCUACGGGUGAAAGCAGGGGAUCUUCGGACCUUGCGCGAUUGAAUGAGCCGAUGUCGGAUUAGCUAGUUGGCGGGGUAAAGGCCCACCAAGGCGACGAUCCGUAGCUGGUCUGAGAGGAUGAUCAGCCACACUGGAACUGAGACACGGUCCAGACUCCUACGGGAGGCAGCAGUGGGGAAUAUUGGACAAUGGGCGCAAGCCUGAUCCAGCCAUACCGCGUGGGUGAAGAAGGCCUUCGGGUUGUAAAGCCCUUUUGUUGGGAAAGAAAAGCAGCAGGUUAAUACCCCGCUGUUCUGACGGUACCCAAAGAAUAAGCACCGGCUAACUUCGUG